This 352-nucleotide ribosomal RNA is filed under the name unidentified. Its description in RNAcentral is "Schizocyttara turneri partial 12S ribosomal RNA". The record is from RNAcentral.
UUAAAUUAAUAAAAAAAAAUUUUAGUAGUAUUAGUUAUAUUCUUGAAACUUAAAAAAUUUGGCGGUAUUUUAUUCUGAUUAGAGGAAUCUAUUUUAUAAUUGAUAAUUCACAAUAAAUUUUACUUAAUUUUAUUAAUUUGUAUAUCGUUGUCAUAAGAAUAUCUUAGUAGAGAAAUAAUUUUCUUAAUAAAUUAAUAUUUAAAAUGUCAAAUCAAGGUGCAGUUUAUAAUUAAGAAAAAAUGGAUUACAAUAAAAUUAUUUAUAUGAAUUUUAAAUUAUAUAAUUUAAAUGAAAGUGGAUUUAUUAGUAAAUUUUAAUAGAUUUUAAAAUUGAUUUAAGUUUUAAAAUGUGU